RNAcentral lists this transfer RNA (58 nucleotides) under Loxodonta africana (African savanna elephant). It matches the Rfam family "tRNA", at positions 8 to 63 of the family's 71-position model. From Rfam's summary of the family: Transfer RNA (tRNA) molecules are approximately 80 nucleotides in length. Their secondary structure includes four short double-helical elements and three loops (D, anti-codon, and T loops). Lineage: Eukaryota; Metazoa; Chordata; Mammalia; Proboscidea; Elephantidae. The record is from Rfam by way of RNAcentral.
UGGCAAAGUGGUUAAAGCAAUUGACUGCUAAUCGAAAGGUUGGUGGUUCAAAACCACU